Molecule: ribosomal RNA, 471 nt
Filed under: Streptococcus mutans
Lineage: Bacteria; Bacillati; Bacillota; Bacilli; Lactobacillales; Streptococcaceae
Description: bacterial SSU rRNA
Rfam family: Bacterial small subunit ribosomal RNA
Source: RNAcentral
GACGAACGCUGGCGGCGUGCCUAAUACAUGCAAGUGGGACGCAAGAGAACACACUGUGCUUGCACACCGUGUUUUCUUGAGUCGCGAACGGGUGAGUAACGCGUAGGUAACCUGCCUAUUAGCGGGGGAUAACUAUUGGAAACGAUAGCUAAUACCGCAUAAUAUUAAUUAUUGCAUGAUAAUUGAUUGAAAGAUGCAAGCGCAUCACUAGUAGAUGGACCUGCGUUGUAUUAGCUAGUUGGUAAGGUAAGAGCUUACCAAGGCGACGAUACAUAGCCGACCUGAGAGGGUGAUCGGCCACACUGGGACUGAGACACGGCCCAGACUCCUACGGGAGGCAGCAGUAGGGAACCUUCGGCAAUGGACGAAAGUCCGACCGAGCAACGCCGCGUGAGUGAAGAAGGUUUUCGGAUCGUAAAGCUCUGUUGUAAGUCAAGAACGUGUGUGAGAGUGGAAAGUUCACACAGUGAC